Molecule: ribosomal RNA, 514 nt
Filed under: Salmonella enterica
Lineage: Bacteria; Pseudomonadati; Pseudomonadota; Gammaproteobacteria; Enterobacterales; Enterobacteriaceae
Description: partial 23S ribosomal RNA
Rfam family: Bacterial large subunit ribosomal RNA
Source: RNAcentral
CCCCGGUAAACGGCGGCCGUAACUAUAACGGUCCUAAGGUAGCGAAAUUCCUUGUCGGGUAAGUUCCGACCUGCACGAAUGGCGUAAUGAUGGCCAGGCUGUCUCCACCCGAGACUCAGUGAAAUUGAACUCGCUGUGAAGAUGCAGUGUACCCGCGGCAAGACGGAAAGACCCCGUGAACCUUUACUAUAGCUUGACACUGAACAUUGAGCCUUGAUGUGUAGGAUAGGUGGGAGGCUUUGAAGUGUGGACGCCAGUCUGCAUGGAGCCGACCUUGAAAUACCACCCUUUAAUGUUUGAUGUUCUAACGUGGACCCGUAAUCCGGGUUGCGGACAGUGUCUGGUGGGUAGUUUGACUGGGGCGGUCUCCUCCUAAAGAGUAACGGAGGAGCACGAAGGUUGGCUAAUCCUGGUCGGACAUCAGGAGGUUAGUGCAAUGGCAUAAGCCAGCUUGACUGCGAGCGUGACGGCGCGAGCAGGUGCGAAAGCAGGUCAUAGUGAUCCGGUGGUUCUG